RNAcentral lists this microRNA precursor (116 nucleotides) under Malus domestica (apple). Its description in RNAcentral is "miR11009 stem-loop (mdm-MIR11009)". The record is from miRBase by way of RNAcentral. Lineage: Eukaryota; Viridiplantae; Streptophyta; Magnoliopsida; Rosales; Rosaceae.
CAAAUGUUAGAUACCUCGGCGGGUGGUGCAUUGGUUGACAUGACUCCGGUGGCUGCAAAGACUCUAAUUGCAAACCGAGCACACAAUGCACAACAAUAUGAGGGUGUUGGACAAAG